RNAcentral lists this unclassified non-coding RNA (9634 nucleotides) under Leishmania donovani. RNAcentral describes it as "gene:LdHU3.33.4440(CDS-product:hypothetical_prote in)". The record is from RNAcentral. Lineage: Eukaryota; Euglenozoa; Kinetoplastea; Trypanosomatida; Trypanosomatidae.
UGACAGUGCUUGGCUCCAUCCAGGUUUCUCCCUGCCGCAUUCGUGCUCACGGCUCCCUAUCCUCCCUCCUGCUCACCACACACCUUUUUCUUUCUUUCACCUUUCGGGCACCCGAACCCUUUUUCCAUUCUCCCCUCUCACUUCCAUCGUUCUAUCACCCCCCACCGCACUCCAUCCCACCCCUCGCGCCCAAGCUCAGAUUUUUUACUUUGCGUGCCGAGGCCGCAUCCGGUGGUGUAGAAGAAGCGCCUCAAGGACAGGCAAGAGAAAGGGUGGUCCGGCUUUCUCUCUGCGCGUAGCUUUCCUCAUCAGAUACCCCUUCAAGUUUCGCUUCGUUUUUCUUUUUGUCUUUUUCGCGUACAUCUUUCUUUCACACCCACUGAGUGGCCAUAUACUCCCCCCCUCUCUCUCUGCUACGGAGGCUCUCUUCACCUCUGCACAAACCUUUAUUGUUAUCUUUUCUUGCUCCAGUUGGCUUUUCGGGUUGGCUGGCCCUCUUGAUUCCCUCACGCAACCCCCACUAUUUCUUCAUUGCGUUCGAUUUUGAGUAGCUCACUGUUGCCGUUCUUCUCUGUCUGUCGUGCACUAAAACAGUGACGCAGGGUCGCCGUUUUUCUCUCUCACACACACACUCACAUACUUACAGGACUGCCCAAACUUGUGUCAUUUGUGGCAGUCGCUCGCUGCACGGCGCCGCACCACUAUCGCGCCCCUCCCUCCGUUUUCGUUUCCCGCUCGUUUUCCCGGCAUCUCGUCACCCGAACACUUAGCGGUUCACCAUGCCCUCCUGGACUGCAACGAAGCCAGCUCCAAACCGGCCGGUAGGGCAGGAGACGCAGGCGCCUGGCGCGACGAAGCCUGCUGGCGCUCCGUCAGCACCGGAGGCUAGAACGAUCUCCGCAAACGGCAACGCUUUCGUCUCCGCUGCUCCAGCCAAUGCUGGCGCCAAGCCAGUCAUCGGCUACCGUGCUUUCCCUCAGAGCGGUGGCGUCAGGGGGCCUGCAGUCAACAUCAUACCUGGUCCGCGGCCCCCGCAGCUGCAGCAGCCAAAGGGCAACUCCAUGAUGAUCGGCAGCGGCUACGGCAACUCGAUGUACCGCCCCAGCAACAUGAGAGGCUAUGCCAGCAUGUGCGACUUCGGCGGCAUGAGCUCUACGCAGCCCGGUGGCUUCAUGUACGGCAAUCAGAACUUUAUGGCCAGCGGCUUCGGCUCCCUGCGUGGGGGCCAGGACGACAUGGGUAGCUACGGCUCUAUGGGUGGCGGCGUUUCGAUGUACGGUGGGAUGGGCUGCAAAUCGAUGGCCUCCUCGUACGGCAUGAGUGGUUCGAUGGGCUGGAUGUACGGCAUGGGCGGCAACCCGAUGGUCUCCCUAUACGGCAUGGACGGUCCGGUGGGCUUCAUGUAUGGCAUGGGGUGCCCCACGGGUUCGAUGUACGGCAUGGGCGGCACGGGCUACAUGAUGCCACGCUCCAUGAGCUUCUCCUCUUACGGUGGCAGAAACAUAUGCGGCUCGAUAGGCGGCAGCUCGCUCAUGAAGAUUGGCGGCAGCGCUUACAGAAUUGGCGGCAUGUGGGGUGCGGAGUCGGGCUCCCAGGUGCGUCGGCAUCCCGACUGCGACAUGCCGACCGUGGCAAAGGCUCUGCAGGACGACGGCGAGACGCGCAGGUGCCUGGCUCUCACUACCGCAACAAAUCAGACGGAUACGGACAACCAGCUGCACGUGAAGGGUGCUGCUGCUGCCGCGGCCAACGGCGCCAAGGCCGCGGAGGAGGACAAGGAGGUGGCGAGCGAAGACACGUCGAAGUCGAAGGGGGACGACCACGCGGACGAGAGGGCGAAGCAGGAGAUCAAGUCGCGGGCGGCGUCCUCGCCGCCGGCCGUCGACGGCGAAGUCUCCGCCGCAAACGCCAACGAGGACAAGGGUGGGAUCACGCUCAGCAACGGUAUCGAUGGCAUCGUUAUAGUCGAGAACGCCAAGAGCACAACGUUAGCGGUGGAGAGGGAGGAAGCGGGUCACAAGGUGUCACUGAAAAUGGCGACUGGCGAGCCAGCGGAAUGCAAGGUGAGCGAGGUGAUGGAGGGCGCCGACGCGGACAUGAGCAAAUCCGCCGUGCUGAACACCGUUUCGACACACCUGCUCAGCGGCCACAAUGUCGCCUUGAUCGCCGUUGACAGAGGAGAGAAAAUGUCGGCAGCCGUGGAGAAUGCCAUCUUCACAUUCUACGCGGGAUCACUUGGGAAGCUGGUGGGAGACCACAAGUGGAAGGCGACCUUCUCCGCGUCAGCGAUCUCGGGUGCGACCAACUACCGAGACUUGCAAGACGACGCGGCGCCGGCGGCCCCGCCGAAGGUCAUCGCGUUCGGCUCAAACCCCAUCUGCGGCGCCUGCAUCAUGGACCUCAAGAAGGUGACAUUGAAGGACGCGGAGACGGUAGCAGUGCACGUGAAGGGUGUUCUGGGGAAAAAUACGCACCCGCAGGAGAUUCUGUUCAUGCAAGCCAUCUUGCGCAUCCACACGGAGAAGGACUUGUUCAUCUGCUCCAUGAACGCCUACGUCGUGCGCGACACCGAGACGGCGGAGGCCUUGGCGAUCCUCGACGACCGCCGCGUGCCAGUUCCAGUGCUGCGCCCCGCCAUCGGCGGGCCGACGCGCACAACCGCCGUCCUGUUCCUCUCCGGCGCUGCCCCGGCGGCGGCGGAGGCAGAAGCGUUGCGCCUCAUGGGCACCCUCUGCACUAAGGAGAGCUCGCCGCCUCGCAGCGGUAAUGUGCAGCGCUUCAUCGAGUACGCGGACGAGCAGAUCAGGAAGAUCGGGGACGUGGCAAAUCUCAGCAGCGCUGAGAAGGACCGCUGCGCGUACAUGGUGGAGAAGAUGCGGACAAUGGCGAGCGAUGCAAGGGAGCUGAUCGGCAACAUGGAGAUGGAGCCAAACGUGUACCCUAUUCAUAGCAAGAGCGACGCCCCCAGCGUGGCCGCGCUGGCAGCAGCUGACAAGGAGAGCAAUGCCAAAGAGGCCGCUGCGGUGACCGAAGCCACCAAGGCGGGCGACAUCGCCGCGAACGGGAAGCCGACGCUGGCGGCCGUCCCCAACUGCAAGGUGCAGACUGCGGAGAAGCAGGCACCGCAGUCGAAGACGGACGCGGCGACACCGGCGGCACCAGCGAACCCCUUCAGCUCCAUCCACCGUCUAGCGUACCUGCAAGACGCCAUGACGCCGUCUAUCGGCAAGAUGGCGCAGGUGGUCGUGAACGGCGAGAUAAAAGUGUAUGACGUGGACGAGUGCAUUGAAAGCCCUGCCGGCGCCAAUGUGCACGCGGUGGAGGAGUCCAACGAGCUGAGGCGCAUGGCGGCCUUGUUAGCCGCUGGCUUCAAUGUCGCCCUGCUCGGCGCGGAGUUCACGGAGCCGACGCGACCGAAUGCGCAGAUGACGUGGCAGUCCGUGAGACUCUUGCUCACGUUGGUGCUCAAGUCUGCCGAGCCGGAGACGGCGACGGAGGCGACGCUGCACAUGUCCGUGGUGCACGAGCACGAGGUCCUGGCGGACCUGGGCUCCGGCGACACAACACCGCAUCCCCUGGUGGUGGCCAUGUCGCCCCUCUUUGGGCCCGUGGUGCACGGCAGCGCCGGCGUAAAGGCCAGCACGCCGGAGGAGUUGGAGGAGGUGAUGAGCAAGGCACUCGCCAACGCCCAGCCGGCGCUGAAGGAUGGCGCCAUGAUUGUGAUGACGGCGGUGGUGCGGCAGAACCGCCACGACGAUGUGAUGGUGGCCUCCGUCUUCGCCGUCUCGGCGGCGGACCUGCGCCCGUACACGAGCGUUCUUGAGCACAACCCGAGUUAUUCCCGAACUCUCUUUUCCUGCGCCCUCGGUGGCCCGUCGUCCACUGGCGUUCUCAUCACAGCAUCCCGAAAAAUGGAUUUGUCGGAGCUGGCGAACGCGUUCAGCAUGCAGUGCAGCGUGGCUCACGUUGGAGUACCGGCCUCGCGCCGCGGGAGCGUGAGGGAGCUCAUCCAGUAUGCACGCGGCUCGCUGGAGCGGCAAAAGAAGAAAGUGGCCGCGGCGACGGAGCCGGCAGAGAGGGAGGCGGCGGAGAAGAGUUUACGUCGCCUCUCGGAGAGCCUGCGCGACCACGAGGAGCUGUUGGCAAACCCGAAGACCGCUGAGGCCAAAGCCUACCCACCCGAGCCUGUUGCAGCAGGUGCGUUGUCGCCGACGGCAAGGGAGCGCCCGGGCCGGGCGGCGACACCGCCGGAGUUGCCGCAGUUUCAGGAGCGUGCCGCCGAACCCCAGCAUGAGGAGACACAAAAGGGCACCACGAGGGUGACCCCAGAUACGGAACCAGCACCGCAGCCACAGGAGGCCAAGCCCGAGAAGGCACAGUCGCUGCAAGCGCAACAGACGGAGGAGCCGAAACCGCAGGAGGAAGAGUCGCGGAAGCUGAAGCCCGCCAAGGAGCAGCGGACGGUACGGCAAGAGAACACAUCCGAGGAGAAGCCGCAGGAAGUCGUGCAGGAAGACAACACGCAAGCGGUGCAGAUCCUGGCCGUCAUCACGGAGGACAUCGGCAGUAGCUUGCCGGUGAAAGAGGGCUGGUCGGUAGAGGGGAGCGACGAGCAGCUCGUCGUCACGGAUGUCCAGGGGCCGCACAGCUUCCUGGUGGACGAGGUGGUAGUUCGGCAGAACCGCGGCUCGCCCAUCGACUCAAAAGUGCUCGAGGAGCUGCGCCACCGGUUCCUGCAGGGCAACAAUGUAGCCCUCCUCACCACCGAGGCGCGCGGCUCUGUGGCGAGCCUGGAGAUGGUGGACCGCACGGUGCGCCGCAUUCUGGACAAGAUGCCGCCGUCCAACUCGCUCUUUAUGUCGCUCUGUGCACUGAAGGAGAAGGAGAACAUCGUACUCGACACGCUCACCGACGGGGGCGAGUUCCACACUGCUGAACUAAACGUGUCGCCCCUGUUCGGCCCGUCGGUGGCCGGCGCCAACUUCGUAAAGGUUAGCAUGGUGGAACAGUUCUCGAAGCUGAUGGGCGGUGGCCUUCGCAAGUGCGGUGAGAGUCGGGCGUGUGUCCUACUACAGCUCGUGCAGGUGGAGAUUAAGGAGGAGCAGCAGGACGCCAACGUGUCUUCGCUUCUCGCCCUCAUGUGCCCCAGCGACACCUCCAUCUACCGCCAUGCGCUGGACCAGCCAGUCAAGGAGCGCGGGCUGCUCUCCCUGGUCUUCAGCGGUUCUUGUUACACGGUCUUCGCCGCCGGCCUGACGAAGCAGCCGGUCGACGAGGGCUGCCUGAUUUUCCUGCGCCUCGCGCAGGCCUUCAAGGACUCGGUGCGCGACUUCAAGCCACGCGGUGGCAGUGUGAAGUGCUUCAUUGAGCACACUCACAGAGCUGUCGCGCAUAUGCAGCAGAACUGUCAGCGCGCCACCUCCGACGAGGACAAGGCGAAGAUGCAGGCAUGCAUCGACGCGGUGAAGUUUAUACUGGAGCAGUCCGAGGCCUACCUGGCGGACCCCGUUAACAAGAUGCCACCGAGCUUCCCCGACGUGCGCGAGCGCCGUAAGCGCUAGGGCACUUUCGUCGGCCUGUGCCGGCUUUGCGUCUGCCCGUGAAUGUGUUGCCGAGCGCUGAUUUAUGUUUGUCCUAUCGCGUGUGCUUGUCUUGUUCCGCUUGGCGCAAGUCAUCCUCCGGCCUUGAUGCCAGUCGUCCAUGCGGCCGUUCCCUCUUCCUCGUUGUUGGAGAGAUUUGGACGCUCUCUCGUCCACGUCUCUGUGUGCCGUUUUUUGUUGCUGCUCCUCUUCUUCACGCAUGGGCUCUUCCGUCUAUUUCUUGCUUUUUCCGUCUUUGGUUUUCGCGUGCAUGUCUGCACGCGCACACCGAGGGGCCGGCUGUGUUUCUCGUUUCACGGAGCUGUGCACCUGUGAUGCCGCCUGCCGCUAUUCUGGAUUUUCGACGACGGGGAAGAAGGAGAAAAGGGUGCCACGGCGAAAGGGACAGGAAGAUGAUGGAGAUGCCUUCUCUACCUUUCGCCUUUUUAUCCAUGGCCACAGGUGGUGGCGGAGGGGACGGAAAACCAUGCGUGCGCGAUGUCGUGAUGGACAGGAAAUGGAACGUAGGUGGCGCAGCGCGAGGGCUGCUCGUUUUUCUUUGUUUGAGGGCGUAAGGAGAGAGCGGGGAGAGUGUAUUGGGAGGGGAAAGGGAGGACAAGUUUUCCCCCAUCUCUCCUCACCUUUCUUUUCCCUGCACGCCCCGCCCAACACCCACACUGCUGAAGCCCCGGACCAGCUUCAUUGGCAUUUCUCUCUCUUUCCUCUCUUGUGUAGUUUGUGAGUGCACCAAAGACCUUGUAGCGGCUUGUUGCGUGGAUACGCACAUGUCACCGUCUUCGCCAUCUCCCUUUCCGUAUCGUGCCGCUCGCUGCCCCCCCCCCCCCCCAUUGUCUUCCCCCUGCAACACUCCUCCUGCUCUCCUCUUCCCGCAUCGGCGCGUGUGUUUCCUUCUCUCGCUUUCCUAGGCACUGCGUUCUAGCAUGUGCCUUGCUCAUUGUCGUCUGAAACCUGCACUGCAGGAUAGGGACUGAGGGACUAGAAACAAGAUGAAAGAGGGAGGGAGGAGGGGUGCCGUCUCGUACCCUGCUUCCUUGUUCGUCUCAUGGAGUGUGAGGUGCUGCCAUCAGCGUAGUGGAUCUGUUUGCCUUUUGUUUCUUUGCUGUGGUUGCCGUUACUUGCGUCACCGUGACAUUCACGUAUGUGGUGAAGGGUACGUUUCUGCGUGCGUGCGAGUACAUGUAUGCGCAUGCCGUGCACCACUUUCUUAAGUGCUUACAUAUAUAUAUAGAGAGAGAGAUGGCGUAAUCAUCUUGUGUAUCGUUUUCUUCUUUUCGUAUCCGCGUGUCAGUGUUGGGUCUCUGGCUCUGUGUCUGCGUAUUUCUUCUUUGCAUCUUUUUGGGUAUGUUGUUUCUCCUUUAUCUCUUUUUUUUGUGUGUGUGUCUUUUUUUUGCCGGUGCUUCUGUCCUGCCCCCUCCCUCCCCGCCGCAUCUCCAUGAUGGCUGCUCUUCAUGUGUUCGUUGUUCUCCCAUCCCUUGUUUUGCGGUUUGUCCGCUUCUCCUGCUCGUCCUUGUCUUAUUGUCCCUCUGCCCAUGUUUUUGGGCACGCGCGUGUGCGUGGGUGGCAUGACGCCGCGGCGAUGCAAUACAACAACAGCUUGUCAAACAAAGAAAACAAGAGAGAAAAAGCUGCACAACAAAAAAUUCUAAUAAAACGAGAGAGAAGUGACACUGGAUGUGGGGACUGGAAAUGGAUCCUCUCCGCGUGGGCGAAGCAGGCCAGGGAUGCGCCUUCGAUCUCGAAAAAAAAAGAAAUGAGAAGUAUCACAGAGUCAGCGUGUGCAUGUGUGUGAACGUCAGAUGCAUGGAGAUGGUGCUGGUUGGAGGGGGAAGCAGGAGGCGAGUGGCGGGCAUUGACACAUUUUCCUGUAUAGCACAAACUCCUUUCCUCUCUUCAGCGCCUUCUCAGUCUCUUCAAGCGCCCGUUUUUUUUUUGUCCCGGGCGUUGAGGGUAUCGCGCACCGAUGCCGCCUCUUGUUUCUUUCCCUUCUUGAGUUCUUGUCCCGCAUUCAGUACCGCUAUUCCCUGCGCGAUCGUCGCCGCCUUCCUCAAAGUACCAAACUUUUCUCCGCCUCUACCCUUACUCUGGUGAGAUCGACGACGGUGAGAAAGGGCUGACGAUACAGCAGCGCGAAUCACGGGUGGCUGACACCUCCAUCGUUCUUUUUUUUGCGUCUUUCUGUCGAUUUUGUUACAACGGAAAACAUGCGCACAAGCCAUGUGUCACCUCCUUCCCUCUUGCUGUGCAUGUGUAUCUCUACGUUCGUGCGCGUGACUCUUUCUGUGCUGGUUUAUCAUUAUUAAUAUCCUCCCAUGCCGCCCCUGAUGACGGGAGACACCUCAGCCUGGUAUCUGAUGGCCGAGAACCCCACUCUCUGUGAGUGGAAGUCAGGCAGCCCGCCCUAUCCCUGCUGAUACCGCAACACCUCUGGUGGUGCCAAGGCCAUGCACCUACGACGUAGGGUGGCCGGAGCAAUCUAUGACUGCUGAUGUCGGCGGCCAGGCCCUGGAUGACGCUGCGGCGGAGCCACCUGCUAUAGUGAACGCCUCUGUGCCAUCAAAAUGAUGCGCAGAGUGUCCUUGUGACUCGAACAUACCCCGCCCGGCCCUCUCAAUGCCCACUGGUGGUAGGCAGCCUGCGUGCUACCCCGAUGGGGAGGCAUCAUGCCGCGACGGGCAUGAUGGCGAAGCGGCUGCGAGGCGAUCUGCGAAGUGGCGGAUUGGUAGAUUUUGAUCCAAGGACAUUGCUCUGACGGUUGAGUCGGCGCAUUGUUGUAACACGCGUCUUCCGCUGCUGCGCACCACGUGAUGUGGGGCCUUGCGACAGGCCGGUGUGGAGUGAGGUUCAGAUCAUGUCCUAUGGCAGAGAAUGGUCACGGUGAAAGGAAAAGAUUCUUCUCUAUUUUUUGUUCUCUUUUGCCACGUCUCUACUCGGUGUGUGUGCGUGUUUUGCCCAUACCUGUCCCCCCUCUCCGUCCUCCUCUCUCUGUCCGUGUGUGCACACGGCACUACUACGUGUUUUACGUUGCUUUACGGUUUGCGUGUUUACUUAUCACGUAUGUGCGUCUCUUUUCAGCACCAGCCUUUUGCUCUCCCCGUUUUUCCCCCUCUCUUUUUAGUCCUCAUCACCUCCCCUCUCCAUUACUUUGCCUGUGCCCCUUUGCCUGGUUGUGUCUGGUGAUGUGCCUUUCGCGACUAUGGUGGACUGCGGUGCGGCUGGAAGUAUGAGAGGUCGUGCUUCUCUCACCUUUUCGUUUGUGAUGUCUCUUUCUUGCUAACGUAUUCCCCCCUGCUUGCUUGUCGGUGCACUCGCCCUCGCUCACACGUAUACGCAUAUUUGACAGCUGCCGUGUCUCUCCCCCUCUGUCCCUUCUCAGCGUGUUCAUUUUUGCUCUGUUGACGUGGCUAUACGACGCUUCAGAGGCCUCUCCGCCUCUCCGUCCUCCCUCUAUCUCUGUGUGUGCGCGCGUGCGUGUGCGCGUGUGUGUGGUCUCUUGUUUUUGUGUCUCUGCUUUUUUCUUAUCGCGUUUCAGCUGCAAGCAUGCCUGCGGCGCGGCUGGCGCUUUUAUUCGCCUCCCUAUGUGAGUUGUUGCUCUCUCUCCUUGUCUUUCCUGUGGAAGAGCAUCACCCGUACCAGACAUCGACAGCGAUGCAAGGAAGAGUGUAGCUACCGACGCACAACUUGCCAAUAUGAUGGCUCGCGAUCCUCUCUGCGCGCGGAGAGGAUCCGCACGAGACGAGCAAGGAGAUGGAGAGGAUGGGCAGAAUACCUCCUGUAGGGCUGUGCUUUCGCGCUGGGGCAAGAACGCAGGUGUGAGGAGAGAUGGAGCGUGGUAAGAAGGCCUUUGCGUGUCCGUUUCUCUUUGUGCCUUUUGCCCUCUGUCUUUGCCUUCUCCUCUUCCUCAGUGCCGUGACUGCUCCUCUGCUCGGCCCCCUCCACUAGCGGGGCUUGCACACACACACACACACACACACAGCACAGGCUCAGCUAUGCCGCGUAGAGAGGGCGCUUUCGCUGCCUUUUCCACAUGAACAACA